This 253-nucleotide ribosomal RNA is filed under the name uncultured bacterium. RNAcentral's name for it is "partial 16S ribosomal RNA". It matches the Rfam family "Bacterial small subunit ribosomal RNA", at positions 524 to 776 of the family's 1533-position model. The record is from RNAcentral.
UACGUAGGGUGCGAGCGUUAAUCGGAAUUACUGGGCGUAAAGCGUGCGCAGGCGGUUUGUUAAGACAGGUGUGAAAUCCCCGGGCUUAACCUGGGAAUGGCGCUUGUUACUGGCAGGCUAGAGUGUGUCAGAGGGAGGUAGAAUUCCACGUGUAGCAGUGAAAUGCGUAGAGAUGUGGAGGAAUACCGAUGGCGAAGGCAGCCUCCUGGGAUAACACUGACGCUCAUGCACGAAAGCGUGGGGGGCAAACAGG